This 1283-nucleotide long non-coding RNA is filed under the name Solanum tuberosum (potato). RNAcentral describes it as "long non-coding RNA (STUB_LNC007628)". Lineage: Eukaryota; Viridiplantae; Streptophyta; Magnoliopsida; Solanales; Solanaceae. The record is from RNAcentral.
CAACUGAGGAAGCUCAACAUCUAAAAAAGUUGAUACAAGACUAUACUGCUUCUUUAAUCAAAGUAGGAGAUAAGGUUUGGUGCUUCUAAAUUUCUAAAGUUCAAGUACAAUUGUUUUCUAUAAUGUGUUUGUGUCCAUCUAGUAUUGAUACUUAGCUUUAAUUUUGUGAUAAUUUUUUUGUGUCCAUCGAGUGUUUGUUAAGCAUAAGUACCAAAACCAGUUGAUCCUAUUGAUGACAAAAUUGAUUUUCUUGCAAGAUCGAUAUGUGUCCAUCUAGUGUUGACACUUAGCUUUAAAUUUAGAAAUAAUAUAUUUGUUAAGCAUAAGUACCAACACUAAUUGAUCCUAUUGAUGACAAAAUUGAUUUUCUUGCAAGAUCGAUUUGUGUCCAUCUAGUGUUGACACUUAGCUUUAAAUUUAGAAAUAAUAUAUUUGUUAAGCAUAAGUACCAACACUAGUUGAUCCUAUUGAUGACAAAAUUGAUUUUCUUGCAAGAUCGAUUUGUGUCCAUCUAGUGUUGACACUUAGCUUUAAAUUUAGAAAUAAUAUAUUUGUUAAGCAUAAGUACCAACACUAGUUGAUCCUAUUGAUUUAGUUAAUUGGUGGAUUUAGUUGUUUGAAUUAAGUCAAUACUAAACUAGUUAAAGUUANNNNNNNNNNNNNNNNNUGGAUUUAGUGUUGUAUUAAGUGAAAGCUAAACUAGUUAAAGUUGUUAAGUUGUUUAAAUAAGUUCAAAUGUUAUUUAUCUAUUGGAAUUAAAAAUAUCAUUAUUGUUUGUGUAGAUGGAUCCUGAUCGCAGUUGGAUGUAUAAUAGAAACAAUCAUGGUCGAGCGGGUAUGAUUCCAGAAAGAGGGACAAUAUCUGCAACGGAGAGUAAGAUAGCUUCGAUGGCGGGGAUAGAGAGGUAAUAUCAUCAUCCUCAAGCUUCGAUGGCGGGGAUAGAGAGACAAUAUCCACAAUGGAGAGUAAGAUAGCUUAUCUCAAUUUCGAGCUUGCUGCUGUAGCCGAAAGAUAGAAAAGAGAGAAGAAAGAGAGAAGAAGAGAUAAGAAAGAGAGAGGCGGAGAUUGCGGCAACAAAGGAGGUAGAAAACAAGAGGUAUGCAACGCUUCGGGCCCAACUAACUUUUCUUUUUGAAUCAGAAAAUAUUCUUCCUCCAUGUCUGGCCAGCAGUGAUGGAUCUGAUCAAGAGGGUGAUGAGAAUGAUAAGUCUGAUAAGGAGAGUGAGGGUGAUGAAGAGUAGUUGUAUCUAUUUGACAUUUUAGACUUCUAUAUUUUUGGAAUU